Gymnodraco acuticeps is the source of this 1778-nucleotide long non-coding RNA. RefSeq lists it as uncharacterized. The record is from RefSeq and is a predicted model, not a curated record. Lineage: Eukaryota; Metazoa; Chordata; Actinopteri; Perciformes; Bathydraconidae. The transcript has 2 exons.
GUAGAUACAGGCAGGGUCGGAUAACAGGCCAGACAGGAUAGUCGAGGGACAGGCAGGAUCAGGGAACAGGCAGAGCAGGCAGAUCGAGGACAGGCAGGGUCGGAACCGGGUAGGCAAUCUAGUAUCAAACGCGGGAAAGACAAGCACGCGGGAAAGUACAAUCUGGCAAAGAGUGUGUGUGUAAGGUGCAUGUUUAAAUACUGGCAGAAGCUAAUGGGUGCAGAAGAGAAAGAGAGUGAGCUAACGAGUGGGUGUGGAAAACAGGUGAGACAGGUGAAUGGAAAACUACUGGUGAAUGAUGGAGCAGACUAUGACAGGGGCUGUGCAAAGCUGACAACACAUUUCCCGAGUUUUGGAAUUUCCACUGCAUCAUUCACCGGGUGCAACCUGUGUCCAAAUCACUGAAUUUAGACAACGUCAUGAAGCCUGUGAUGGAAAUCGUAAACUACAUCCGCACGCAUGCUCUUAACCACAGGCAAUUUAAGAAUCUCAUCGCUGAACUCGACCAAGGGCUUCCAGGAGACCUGCCGCUGCACUGCACUGUGAGGUGGCUUUCUAAAGGCAAAGUGCUGUCUCGCUUCUUUGAGCUGUUGGAUGCUGUGAAACUGUUCAUGGAACAGAAGGACAAGGAUUAUCCGGAGCUCUCAGACCCCAAGUGGAUUAUGGAUCUGGCCCUUUUGGUCGACAUGCUGUGUCAUCUGGACAGACUGAACCUGGAUCUGCAAGGAAAGUUAAAAAUGCUGCCUGACUUAGUGCAAAGUGUAUUUGCGUUUGUUAACAAACUGAAACUGUUUAAGACACAUCUUCAAAAGGGAGAAUUAGCGCAUUUUCCCUCUCUGCUAAAAGCAAACAGCCCGUUAUGCAAUAUUGGUUGAAACCCUGCAGGAAAACGUUGCGACCCGGUUCCAUGAUCUACAUGUGAAAAGGCCACAGAUUACGUUCCUCGUCGAUCCUUUUUAAUGCUGAGACGGACUGUUUGAAAGCCCCGCUAGUCAAGGACGAGGCGGUGGCCGAGUUGGAGAUGAUCGAACUUUCAGAGGAUGACCGACUGAAACCUGUUCUGAGGGAAGGGACCCUUGAGUUCUGGAAAACUGUGCCGAUCGAAAAAUACCCAAAUGUCAAACGGGCUGCGCUCAAGCUACUUUCAAUGUUUGGGUCAACAUACGUCUGUGAGUCUGUGUUUUCUACCCUGAAACAUGUGAAAUCCAAGCAUCGAUCUGUUCUGACUGACACACAUGUGAGAGAAUUGCUUAGAGUGGCCACAACGGAAUACAUGCCAGAUUUGAGGAGGAUUGUUCAAAGCAAGGAAUGUCAGAAGUCCCACUAAUUUAAAAUUCCAGUUUGUGGCAACACUUGCCUAAUGUUGUUGACUCAGAAGAAGCCUAUCUGCCCACCCGUCUGAUUAUUUUGAUUGUUGGGAUUUGUGUAAAGCGCAGUCGAUACCUCGUAAGGAAAAGCAAACAAGGACUGUCAAUAAAUCAGGUUAAGAAAUGCACACAAACAGGGAGGUUAAACUGUCAGAGAUGGGGGAGUUUAAGGGCGGUUAACUCAGAACAUUACAGACGGACCGAGCUGGGUUAUGGAGACGGCAUGAGAUAAAAAAUUAACACAGGACUUGGGGGCAUGAUAUGUAUGUUCUCCUCCCAUUGGCUCAGAACAGGGAGUUCAGGUCCAAUGAGUUGGAUGAAGGGGGACACGCAUAUGGCAAACAUAUCAGUUUUCUAGAUCCUAAAAUGAAACAUAAAAUUGAUGGUAAACUGGAAUAAAAAGCGAGAAAA